This 492-nucleotide ribosomal RNA is filed under the name uncultured bacterium. Its description in RNAcentral is "partial 16S ribosomal RNA". It matches the Rfam family "Bacterial small subunit ribosomal RNA", at positions 29 to 507 of the family's 1533-position model. The record is from RNAcentral.
AGUGAACGCUGGCGGUAGGCCUAACACAAGCAAGUCGAACGGCAGCACAGUAAGAGCUUGCUCUUACGGGUGGCGAGUGGCGGACGGGUGAGGAAUACAUCGGAAUCUACUUUUUCGCGGGGGAUAACGCAGGGAAACUUACGCUAAUACCGCAUACGACCUACGGGUAAAAGCAGGGGAUCUUCGGACCUUGCGCGAUUGAAUGAGCCGAUGUCGGAUUAGCUAGUUGGCGGGGUAAAGGCCCACCAAGGCGACGAUCCGUAGCUGGUCUGAGAGGAUGAUCAGCCACACUGGAACUGAGACACGGUCCAGACUCCUACGGGAGGCAGCAGUGGGGAAUAUUGGACAAUGGGCGCAAGCCUGAUCCAGCCAUACCGCGUGGGUGAAGAAGGCCUUCGGGUUGUAAAGCCCUUUUGUUGGGAAAGAAAAGCAGCAGGUUAAUACCCCGCUGUUCUGACGGUACCCAAAGAAUAAGCACCGGCUAACUUCGUG